This 120-nucleotide small RNA is filed under the name unclassified sequences. RNAcentral's name for it is "LOOT RNA". It matches the Rfam family "LOOT RNA". From Rfam's summary of the family: Latescibacteria, OD1/Parcubacteria, OP11, TM7. Lineage (Microgenomates, aka OP11) The record is from Rfam by way of RNAcentral.
AGCCUAAACUGUACCUUCGCGUACGGCACGGCUCAAAAAACCGAUGAGAGAUAAAGAGCUCCUAGUCAGAGCACUCUCAUCGGUCGUAUGGGGAAACUCAUACGGGUCCCGCAAGGGAUC